CGCCAAGCCAAGGGGUGCAAUGCUUUUACGAGCAUUUGCUGAGAGAAUUUACCCUUAUUACCUGAUGCGGAUAAUGCCGAUGUAGGGAUGGUUAAUUGAAUGACC
RNAcentral lists this non-coding RNA (105 nucleotides) under Thalassotalea sp. PP2-459. Its description in RNAcentral is "TPP riboswitch aptamer (THI element)". It matches the Rfam family "TPP riboswitch aptamer (THI element)". From Rfam's summary of the family: Vitamin B(1) in its active form thiamin pyrophosphate (TPP) is an essential coenzyme that is synthesised by coupling of pyrimidine and thiazole moieties in bacteria. The previously detected thiamin-regulatory element, thi box was extended, resulting in a new, highly conserved RNA secondary structure, the THI element, which is widely distributed in eubacteria and also occurs in some archaea. RNAcentral also lists the same sequence under 1 other name. The record is from Rfam by way of RNAcentral. Lineage: Bacteria; Pseudomonadati; Pseudomonadota; Gammaproteobacteria; Alteromonadales; Colwelliaceae.